Molecule: non-coding RNA, 755 nt
Organism: Misgurnus anguillicaudatus (oriental weatherfish)
Lineage: Eukaryota; Metazoa; Chordata; Actinopteri; Cypriniformes; Cobitidae
Source: RefSeq, a predicted model, not a curated record
GAGUCAGUAAAGAGCCGACUGUGAACGUGAUACUUACCCCGAGAGCUGUAAGCAGCGGAGCUGGUGAGAACCAUUCAAAGACCAAUAACAGUGUUUCUGUGUCCUAGCGACCACCUGUGGAGAGAGAAAGGAAAACGAGAGAGAGUCAGUAAAGAGCCGACUGUGAACGUGAAACUUACCCCGAGAGCUGUAAGCAGCGGAGCUGGUGAGAACCAUUCGAAGACCAAUAACAGUGUUUCUGUGUCCUAGCGAUCACCUGUGGAGAGAGAAAGGAAAACGAGAGAGAGUCAGUAAAGAGCCGACGGUGAACGUGAUACGUACCCAGAGAGCUGUAAGCAGCGGAGCUGGUGAGAACCAUUCAAAGGCCAAUAACAGUGUUUCUGUGUCCUAGCGAUCACCUGUGGAGAGAGAGAAGAAGACAAGAUGGCCGCCUGUGGAAAGAGAAGAAGGCGAGAGUAAGCCAUUGGGCACGGACAGUGGAGAAACCCCUAACAGCCACACCAGAAGUUGUCUGCCUCCAGGAAGAGAAGAAGGAGGGCGCCACGGCCAGCAGGGUCCAGGCGGGAGCCUGACGUUUCCUUUUUCCCCCGUUGAUGGUGGUUGGCACCCCCGUUUUCCCAUCCCUGUCACCCGUGGCUGUAGUCUCCCUGGAGGGAGUAGAAGAAGCCAUUAGUUUUAAAAUUCCCCUUUCCCCGAAAUUUCCCCCCCAUCCUUUUAAGUAUUUAAGAUUUCAAUAAAGCUUGUUUUAAAUUUUA